Molecule: ribosomal RNA, 468 nt
Filed under: uncultured bacterium
Lineage: Bacteria
Description: partial 16S ribosomal RNA
Rfam family: Bacterial small subunit ribosomal RNA (bases 65-468)
Source: RNAcentral
GGGGGGGGGGGGGGGGGGGCUGGGGGGGGGGGGGGGGGGGGGGGGGGGGCGGGGGGGGGGGGGGGCGGGGGGGGCGGGCGGGUGAGUAGCGGGUGCGGAGGCUGCCAUGGACGUGGGGCGGACGUCAGGAAACUGUGGCUAAUCGCGGAUAGGAGCUCCUGCUGCAUGGUGGGGGUUGGAAAGGUUCGGCGGUUGGGGAUGGACUCGCUGCUUAGCAGCUGGUUGGUGGGGUAGUGGCUUACCAAGGCUUUGACGGGUCGCCGGCCUGAGAGGGUGACCGGCCACAUUGGGACUGAGAUACGGCCCAGACUCCUACGGGAGGCAGCAGUGGGGAAUAUUGCACAAUGGGCGGAAGCCUGAUGCAGCAACGCCGCGUGCGGGAUGACGGCCUUCGGGUUGUAAACCGCUUUCGCCUGUGACGAAGCGUGAGUGACGGUAAUGGGUAAAGAAGCACCGGCUAACUACGUG